AGUUUGAUCAUGGCUCAGAACGAACGCUGGCGGCAGGCCUAACACAUGCAAGUCGAGCGCUACCUUCGGGUGGAGCGGCGGACGGGUUAGUAACGCGUGGGAACGUACCCAGAUCUAAGGAAUAGCCACUGGAAACGGUGAGUAAUACCUUAUACGCCCUUCGGGGGAAAGAUUUAUCGGAUUUGGAUCGGCCCGCGUUAGAUUAGAUAGUUGGUGGGGUAAUGGCCUACCAAGUCUACGAUCUAUAGCUGGUUUUAGAGGAUGAUCAGCAACACUGGGACUGAGACACGGCCCAGACUCCUACGGGAGGCAGCAGUGGGGAAUCUUGGACAAUGGGCGCAAGCCUGAUCCAGCCAUGCCGCGUGAGUGAUGAAGGCCUUAGGGUCGUAAAGCUCUUUCGCCAGAGAUGAUAAUGACAGUAUCUGGUAAAGAAACCCCGGCUAACUCCGUGCCAGCAGCCGCGGUAAUACGGAGGGGGUUAGCGUUGUUCGGAAUUACUGGGCGUAAAGCGUACGUAGGCGGAUUAGUCAGUCAGAGGUGAAAUCCCAGGGCUCAACCCUGGAACUGCCUUUGAUACUGCUAGUCUUGAGUUCGAGAGAGGUGAGUGGAAAUUCCAAGUGUAGAGGUGAAAUUCGUAGAUAUUUGGAGGAAACACCAGUGGCGAAGGCGGCUCACUGGCUCGAUACUGACGCUGAGGUACGAAAGUGUGGGGAGCAAACAGG
RNAcentral lists this ribosomal RNA (722 nucleotides) under uncultured bacterium. Its description in RNAcentral is "bacterial SSU rRNA". It matches the Rfam family "Bacterial small subunit ribosomal RNA", at positions 10 to 776 of the family's 1533-position model. The record is from RNAcentral.